AACGCACAUUGCGCCCUCUGGUAUUCCGGGGGGCAUGCCUGUUCGAGCGUCAUUGUCAACAAUCCAGCCCGGCUGGGUGUUGGGCAGCGCGGCCUCACCGCCGCGGGCCCCAAUGUCGCCGGCCACGCCGUCCGUCCCCUCGCGUUGUGGCAUCUCGUCUCGCGUCGGUGGCCGGCCGGAGUGCGCCGUCCAACCUCCAUAUCACAGGUUGACCUCGGAUCAGGUAGGGAUACCCGCUGAACUUAA
RNAcentral lists this unclassified non-coding RNA (246 nucleotides) under uncultured fungus. RNAcentral describes it as "partial contains 5.8S ribosomal RNA, internal transcribed spacer 2, and large subunit ribosomal RNA". The stretch from base 1 to 52 matches the Rfam family "5.8S ribosomal RNA", at positions 103 to 154 of the family's 154-position model. The record is from RNAcentral. Lineage: Eukaryota; Fungi.